AACGCACAUUGCGCCCUUUGGUAUUCCGAAGGGCAUGCCUGUUCGAGCGUCAUUUUCACCCCUCAAGCCCCCGGCUUGGUGUUGGAGGCCCUGGUCGGGCGACUGACCCCUCCCAAAGACAAUGACGGCGGCCCGCUUCGACCCCCGGUACACUGAGCUUCUUAACUGAGCACGUAUCGGAUCAGGCUCGACGGGACCCGGUCUCACACCUAAUUUUUACAAGGUUGACCUCGGAUCAGGUAGGGAUACCCGCUGAACUUAA
Molecule: unclassified non-coding RNA, 262 nt
Filed under: uncultured fungus
Lineage: Eukaryota; Fungi
Description: sequence contains ITS2
Rfam family: 5.8S ribosomal RNA (bases 1-52)
Source: RNAcentral